GAUGAACGCUGGCGGCGUGCCUAAUACAUGCAAGUCGAGCGAACGGACGAGGAGCUUGCUCCUCUGAUGUUGGCGGCGGACGGGUGAGUAACACGUGGAUAACCUACCUAUAAGACUGGGAUAACUUCGGGAAACCGGAGCUAAUACCGGAUGAUAUUUUGAACCGCAUGGUUCAAAAGUGAAAGACGGUCUUGCUGUCACUUAUAGAUGGAUCCGCGCUGCAUUAGCUAGUUGGUAAGGUAACGGCUUACCAAGGCAACGAUGCAUAGCCGACCUGAGAGGGUGAUCGGCCACACUGGAACUGAGACACGGUCCAGACUCCUACGGGAGGCAGCAGUAGGGAAUCUUCCGCAAUGGGCGAAAGCCUGACGGAGCAACGCCGCGGGAGUGAUGAAGGUCUUCGGAUCGUAAAACUCUGUUAUUAGGGAAGAACAAAUGUGUAAGUAACUGUGCACAUCUUGACGGUACCUAAUCAGAAAGCCACGGCUAACUACGUG
This 497-nucleotide ribosomal RNA is filed under the name uncultured bacterium. RNAcentral describes it as "partial 16S ribosomal RNA". It matches the Rfam family "Bacterial small subunit ribosomal RNA", at positions 28 to 507 of the family's 1533-position model. The record is from RNAcentral.